Molecule: ribosomal RNA, 274 nt
Filed under: uncultured bacterium
Lineage: Bacteria
Description: partial 16S ribosomal RNA
Rfam family: Bacterial small subunit ribosomal RNA
Source: RNAcentral
UACGUCUGGGGCACGCGUUGUCCGGAAUUACUGGGUGUAAAGGGCGUGUAGGCGACCCCUUCAGUUGAAUGUGAAAUCUCCCGGCUCAACUGGGAGGAGUCAUUCAAUACUGAGGGGAUAUGAGGACAGAAGAGGGAAGUGGAAUUCCCGGUGUAGCGGUAAAAUGCGUAGAUAUCGGGAGGAACACCAGUGGCGAAGGCGGCGUCCUGGUCUGUCCCUGACGCUGAUGCGCGAAAGCCAGGGGAGCAAACGGGAGUAGAUACCCGGGGAGUCC